Long non-coding RNA from Hibiscus syriacus, 303 nucleotides. RefSeq lists it as uncharacterized. The record is from RefSeq and is a predicted model, not a curated record. The transcript has 4 exons. NCBI's taxonomy places the organism in Eukaryota, Viridiplantae, Streptophyta, Magnoliopsida, Malvales, Malvaceae.
UCGGACAUAAUAGUGGAACGAAUAUUACCUUCUUCUACUUCAGGUCUCAAGGAAUCGAUCUCAGCGGGAGUGAAGAAGAUACAGAGUACAGAUUAGAUCGAAGUUUUCUGAUAAAAUCUUCAGUUGAUAUUUCGGGUUGAUUGCUUCUCGAUAUCCAAGAUGGUUGUACUUGCGGCUUCAAUUGUAAGCAAGUCUGGCAAGUGCUUCUCUCCAGGCAGUUUGUGGACAUGACUGGAUAAGAAUUGAAGGUCUUCUUGCAGCUUUUCCUAAGUUGGUAGGACAGGCAAGCAACACAUGUUGAGA